This 785-nucleotide long non-coding RNA is filed under the name Elaeis guineensis (African oil palm). RNAcentral's name for it is "long non-coding RNA (EGUI_LNC008165)". The record is from RNAcentral. Lineage: Eukaryota; Viridiplantae; Streptophyta; Magnoliopsida; Arecales; Arecaceae.
CUUCCAUUACAACACCAUUUUUCAAUCUCACCUUUGUUCUACAAGACUUAUCUAGUUUGCUGAAUAUGCUUUCAUCUCUUGUCAUGUGGCUCGUACAUCCACUGUUAAUCUACCAUGUGUGCUUUUCGACUGCCAUAGAGGUUUGACCUACCAUGAAUAAACUUCCGGCAAACUCCUCUUCAUCUUUCUUUGUAUAAUUUGCUUGUUGAGUAGGACUUUCUUGUGCUUGAUUCUAUUUCAUUUUGCAAUUCUUCUCAAUGUGCCCAAGUUUCUUGCAAAAUCUGCACUGGAUUGGUGGUUUUCCUUCGAACAAACAAUCAUUUUCUUGAUGAUUGGUUCUGUUGCAGAAUUUACCAGAAAAAAAUUUUCCUUUUUAUCAGAAUUCGAUACCAUUGCUACAGCUUUUCCCUUGUCAUUAUCUCCCUUCUUUCCUUUCUUCUUGACUUGCUUCUCUUUUUGUCUUGCUUGCAAAGCACCUUCUACAACUUCUCCUUCCCUUAUGAUUGAUCUUUGCUCUUAAAUUUGAAGCUUGCUGAUGAGUUCGAUAAUAGUUAUAGUUUUAAGAUCACAAGACUCUUCUAUGCAGAAAUCUUGGACUCAAACUUCACGAGAAGACUAAUUAUAAUCUUUUCAAUCACUUUCUCAUCAGAAAAAUUAUCUUCAAGCAACUUAAUUUUAUUGACUAAAUCAAGAAGCUAGAAGAGUAAUCUUUUAUUAUUUCUCCUUCAUUCAUCUUCAACAUUUCAAACUCUCUUUUCAAAGUUAACAACUUAACAGCCUUAACC